This 501-nucleotide ribosomal RNA is filed under the name uncultured bacterium. RNAcentral's name for it is "partial 16S ribosomal RNA". It matches the Rfam family "Bacterial small subunit ribosomal RNA", at positions 29 to 523 of the family's 1533-position model. The record is from RNAcentral.
AUUGAACGCUGGCGGCAUGCCUUACACAUGCAAGUCGAACGGCAGCACGGGUGCUUGCACCUGGUGGCGAGUGGCGAACGGGUGAGUAAUACAUCGGAACGUACCUUUUCGUGGGGGAUAACGCAGCGAAAGCUGUGCUAAUACCGCAUACGCCCUGAGGGGGAAAGCGGGGGAUCGCAAGACCUCGCGCGAUUAGAGCGGCCGAUGCCUGAUUAGCUAGUUGGUGGGGUAAAAGCCCACCAAGGCGACGAUCAGUAGCUGGUCUGAGAGGACGAUCAGCCACAGUGGGACUGAGACACGGCCCAGACUCCUACGGGAGGCAGCAGUGGGGAAUUUUGGACAAUGGGGGCAACCCUGAUCCAGCAAUGCCGCGUGAGUGAAGAAGGCCUUCGGGUUGUAAAGCUCUUUUGUCAGGGAAGAAACACCGGCUCUAACACAGUCCGGGAAUGACGGUACCUGAAGAAUAAGCACCGGCUAACUACGUGCCAGCCGCCGCCGUAA